This 1283-nucleotide small RNA is filed under the name Pan troglodytes (chimpanzee). RNAcentral's name for it is "retained intron". Lineage: Eukaryota; Metazoa; Chordata; Mammalia; Primates; Hominidae. The record is from RNAcentral.
CACGGCACCCGGCCCUUUUGCUUUUUAUAAAUUGAUACAUAAUAUGUAUCACUUGGAAGUAAGGGAAAUCUGAAGUGAACUAUUUUCCUAUGCUCCAGAAAUAUCUCUCUACAAACACUUAACACAUUAGUUACAGAUCUUUUUCCCAUUCUUUGAAAUAAGGCCCCAAAUAAUCUCCAUCAGAACAGUUAGCUUAAUGUGAAUUACUUUAUAUAUUUGAAAUUAAAAAAAGACAUAUAUUGUAAGUAAUGUAUGGCUCACAUUUUAAUGAUGCAGCCUUGCUUCUUCCUUAAUUAGACUGAGGAGAAGAAAGUUAAUAUAGAUGGUAACUAUAACUAUAUUCUCUUUUCAAAGAAAUAAUAAUAUAUUUAAAGUUAGUAAUAUAUGUGUUCCUAAACAUGAUUUGCAAUUUCUUACAGAUUUGUGGGAUCACUGGGUACCAUCAUCAUAAAAUGUAAAGAUUUUCGAAUUAUUCAGUUGGAUAUUCCCGGAAUGGAGGAGUGCUUGAAUAUAGCCAGUUCCAUUGAGGCAUUGUCUACUCUGGACUCCAUCACUCUGAUGUACCCUUUCUUUUACCGUCCUAUGUUUGAAGUGAUAGAAGAUGGCUGGCAUUCCUUCCUUCCUGAGCAAGAAUUUGAACUCUAUUCCUCAGCUGUGAGUUAACUUUUGAGAACUGUGGAUUAUGAGAAGUAACCCAAUACCUUAUUUGACUUGUGAAAAUGAUCACUUCUUUUGAAGAGUAAUAAGGUGAAGUUGACUUAUCUAUUCCUAAUCUUAAUAUAUUUAAAAGGAUUGAAGCCAUGCAGAGUAUGAUCUCUGAUCACAAAGGAAUUAGAUUAAUAAUCAGUAAUACUAAGAUAUCUAGGAAUACCCCCAAGUAUUUCUAAAUUGAACAGAAUGUUUGUAAAUAAUCUGCAUGUCAAAGAAAUUAGAAAACAUUUUGAAGUGAGUGAUAAUGGUAACGUAACAUAUUGAAAUUUGUGGAAUACAGACAGCUAAGGCAGUGUUUAGAGAUAAACUUACAGCUUUAAAAUUUUUACUAGAAAGGAAAGUCUAAAAUUAUUGACCUAAGCACCAAUUUAAGAAGCUAGAAAAAAAAAGCAAAGUAACUAGAGAGAAAAAAUAAUAAAAAUAAGAGCAGAAAGCAAUAAAAUAACUAGAAUAAGUAAGUUUAGCAAAGUUGGUUCAUAUAAGAUCGGUAUACAAAAACGAAUUGAAUUGGCAACAAGCGAUCUGACAAUGAAUAAAAUAUUUACGAAUAAAUUUAACAAAAGAAAUUCACG